CCUACGGGCGGCAGCAGUGGGGAAUAUUGGACAAUGGGCGAAAGCCUGAUCCAGCCAUGCCGCGUGUGUGAAGAAGGCCUUCGGGUUGUAAAGCACUUUCAGUGGGGAAGAAAGCCUUGGGGCUAAUACCCUCGAGGAAGGACAUCACCCACAGAAGAAGCACCGGCUAACUCCGUGCCAGCAGCCGCGGUAAUACGGAGGGUGCGAGCGUUAAUCGGAAUUACUGGGCGUAAAGCGCGCGUAGGCGGUCUGAUAAGCCGGUUGUGAAAGCCCCGGGCUCAACCUGGGAACGGCAUCCGGAACUGUCAGGCUAGAGUGCAGGAGAGGAAGGUAGAAUUCCCGGUGUAGUGGUGAAAUGCGUAGAGCUCGGGAGGAAUACCAGUGGCGAAGGCGGCCUUCUGGACUGACACUGACGCUGAGGUGCGAAAGCGUGGGUAGCAAACAGGAUUAGAUACCCCAGUAGUC
Molecule: ribosomal RNA, 465 nt
Filed under: Vreelandella stevensii
Lineage: Bacteria; Pseudomonadati; Pseudomonadota; Gammaproteobacteria; Oceanospirillales; Halomonadaceae
Description: partial 16S ribosomal RNA
Rfam family: Bacterial small subunit ribosomal RNA
Source: RNAcentral